AGGGGCGUAGUUCAAUUGGUAGAGCACCGGUCUCCAAAACCGGGUGUUGGGGGUUCGAGUCCCUCCGCCCCUGCCAAAA
RNAcentral lists this transfer RNA (79 nucleotides) under Shimwellia blattae DSM 4481 = NBRC 105725. RNAcentral's name for it is "tRNA-Trp". It matches the Rfam family "tRNA". Rfam says of the family: Transfer RNA (tRNA) molecules are approximately 80 nucleotides in length. Their secondary structure includes four short double-helical elements and three loops (D, anti-codon, and T loops). Lineage: Bacteria; Pseudomonadati; Pseudomonadota; Gammaproteobacteria; Enterobacterales; Enterobacteriaceae. The record is from RNAcentral.